CUCUCCCUGAGCCCUGGUCUUCCUGAGUACCUCCCCGGAGAGCCUGUUUCCCUCACAGGCUGGGAUGCCCAAGGGAUCACCAACUUGCAGGAUUCUGAUGUGACAAGUUCUCCAGCUCCUGUUACCCCUCUUAGUGCCAGUGCGGGGUCAAUACCCAUAACACAGGGUCAGGAUUUGGGGACUGGAAACCCUUCCCAUCCCCGUCAAUCCCUGUCUGUGCAAAUGCUCCCUAUGAUGCAGCACAAACAUUAGUUAAAACACACCCCAAGGGCCCUGUGGGACAAGGGGGCUGGUUUCAGAAACUUCGCCAUGAGAGAGGGAGAUCCCAAUUGGUGAGAAUAAAAAAAAUCCUGCACCUGCUUGUACUGAUACGUCUGUCUGACCGGGAGAUCCCAGCACGGAAGAACCAGCCCCUCUCCACCAGCCUGGGGGAGGCGGCAUUGGGCAGGGAGAUCGGGCUGGUUUGUGUGUGUUAGGGAUUUUUUCAUCUAUCUCCCAAUCCUCCUCAAUCACAGAGCGGAGCAGAUCCCCAAAUGGGUCUUCAGCCAGGGCACAUCAGUGAUCAGCACGACUUACUCAGCAAAGAGCAUGUGUGACGCUCCUCGGGGAUACCCAGGGCUCUGGGGCAUGUUCCUGCCACCUGCCCUUAGCGUGAGGAAGCCUGGUCUGUACUUGCUGGGGGCAGCUCCCUGACUGCCUGGUCUCAGCCGCACAAGCCCUCCCCUCCCCGCCCCUGCAGGCUGAGCUGGCCCUGGGCAGGAGCUGACCCCUCAGUUACCAAGGAGGGGACGCUGGUCCCACUGGGUUCCUUGGCAGUGAAAUCUCUGCUGCUCCGUGUUUGCAUGGCCCGGUGGGGACGUGGUACCUGAGCACUGAGUUGGGGCUGGCUGGGGUCUGUGUCCAGGAUCCCGCCCUCUUCUGCUCUUCAUUGGCCCUUCCUCUGCUUCUGUAUCACCAGCCACACAAGUAGCCAUCUCCUCCCCCGACCCCCUUGUCUUUUCCAGCCCCCCUCCCGACUCCCCAGCUCACCGUGUCCCCGCAGCAGCCUGUCUACAUAACUGGAGAAGCUGUGACCCUGACGUGCUCAGCUGCCAGGGCGUCCACUGUGUCCGGGGUCCGGUUCUUCAGAGAUGAUCAGGAAAUUCAGCGGAAGGAACUCCCCUCACCUCGGUACAGUUACACCAAUUCGAUUCCAGCGCAAGGCGGAACCUAUACCUGUGAAUCCUGGCAGACAGUGUCUGGGCGAGAAAUCACAUCAAACAGGAGCCGACCGAUCUCCAUAGCAGUCACAGCCUUCGUCCCGGCUCUCCAUGUCACUGUGUCCCCAGAGCAGCCUGUUGACAUAACUGGAGAAGUUGCCUGACU
Molecule: long non-coding RNA, 1365 nt
Filed under: Chrysemys picta bellii (western painted turtle)
Lineage: Eukaryota; Metazoa; Chordata; Testudines; Emydidae
Description: lncRNA (ENSCPBG00000016208.1)
Source: RNAcentral